This 3407-nucleotide long non-coding RNA is filed under the name Rattus norvegicus (Norway rat). RNAcentral describes it as "long non-coding RNA NONRATT006689". The record is from RNAcentral. Lineage: Eukaryota; Metazoa; Chordata; Mammalia; Rodentia; Muridae.
UAGCGUUCUUGGGGCACUGCGUUGCCAUUUUCUGCACCGUCUGCUUUGCUUCAUACUGACGUGCAGUAAUUCAUAGUUGCUUUCAUAAAUAUCCAUAUUUUUCAUCACAGUGGAGUAAAUAUAUUAGGUUUGAAUAUUUUUGCUCACCAAAUUAUUUACUUCAUUUCUCAAUCAGGAAAUAGAAAGCAGGCUGAGCUGGCCUUCAUUUAUACACCCUCCUUCAACCCCAUUUUGCUUUAUUUCUUAGGGGCGACUUGGGUGAAAGAGAAACAGCCUAGUUCCUCCUCAUCUUUUGGGUAGCCAUGGUGGUCACAUACUGUAUCUGCCUAACGUGUUUCAUCCCUUCAAACACAGACUGAGAGGAAAGGUGGGCUUCAUAAUUUAAAUACCAUCGAUGGGAAGGUUCUCAUUUUGCCUAGCAAAUUGUAAGACGGGAGCUGAUCCUUGAGCAGUAUGUGCAUUUUGAGUUCUGUUUGGUUGCUAGGAGUGUCAGCUACAUCAGCCUAUGGGACUGCACCAUAGUGCACAGACCUCAAUCGUUCAGUGGCAGACUGAAUUAGCCUAGACGCUCCUUCCACCUCAUGUGAAAAGCCCAAACUGACAGGGGUCCAAAAUGAAAUGGAGACUCCAGACACUGAUCUGAUUUAAAAAAAAAAAAAGUUUGUCAGGAAAGCAGUAGCAAAAUUAUUUCUCAGUGACUGUCGUUUACUACCCAUUUGUACACUCAGGACAUCUGAAAAUCAAACUACCCAAGACCUCUUUGCUCAUGAAGGAAGUUAGAAAAAUUCCCCUUAAGCAUUGGAAUCGAGUCUUCACUCUUUUCCAGAAAACAUUUCUAGGAGAAAAUAGAAUUAAAAAGGACCCGUGGCAGGCUCUUGAAUAAGAGUGCCGUGUCGAAUUCUGUGCCGUACGCAAAACCUGAAGCUUAGAGGCCCAGUGUGCAGCUGCGGGGAGCGCCGAGCUCCGUGGGUGCUCCGCGUAGUGAGUUACCCUGGGUUUGCACUGCCUUGUCUGGAUCUACACCCUUAUCAUUACUGAACAGAUGUGGGGCUUUUCUUUCUCUACUGCUGAGCAUGGGAAUGUGUGCAAUUAUGAGAUGAACUUCUAAGUAGUAAGCCUGUGCCACAAAGUAGAUGUGACACAAAGGCACGGAGCCCAGGGAUAGUAAUCUUGCCUGAGCUGCUCACACGGGCUCUUAUUCCACGGCUUUGUCACAGGCUUCUCUCCUUCUGUGCCAUCACCUUUGAGAAAAAGAAAAAAUGAUUGCACCUUCUCCAGCUCUGCCUUUUUAACAGCCACAGUUGGGUUGGCAAGACUUUCCCAGCUCCGAAUAUAGCCAUUUGCCGACUCCGGCCUCUGCGAGACUGACUUCAAAUCUGUGGUCUUCUGUUCAGCGUACACAUCAGCAGAGCGAGAAGAUGGCUGCUAAAUAUAGGCUCUAUUAACUUUACUUUUAGAUGUACUGCCUUCAGAGAGUGCCUAUUCUGAGGAAUAUAAACCUUAUUCCUACAUAUGUAUACACACACGGUACCCGGACUCGCCCUGUUCAGCCUUCAAAAACACCAUCAGCCGGAGUAGGUGCUGAGAUAGGGAAGCAUGGCCGAAUCGGAGAGAGUGGCUCGUUUCCAAUCUCCCCUUCAGUGGCUACCAUGAAAUGGGCUAAAACAAGAGUCUCCAGCACUUCCUGCUGACACAGCCACUUUGCAUUUAUAUCCCAGAAUAGUGUCAGAUUGCUGAAGAACCUGUAUUUCAUGGAAAUAAUACAAUCACCAACAUUUCAUCAGGGGAGGAAAAGGCAAUUAAUUUGUGUCAUGUGUGUUUCUUAAACUAAGUAUUGCUAGGUUUUGAGUGUCAGCAGGUUUCUUUUAUCUUGUAGGCUAGCCUAGAGAAAACUAAAGUCUUGGCUAUAGGGAACGUAGACUCAGGGGGCCAAGGCAUCCCUGCCAGAUCCUUGAAGCAUUUUUACUCCAGCUCCUAAGAAUACCAGUCCAUGCUAUUUGAGGGCUUUUGUUCCUGGAGCGCUCUCUGACAGUGACAGAGGAACUCUAGGUAUUUUUGAGUAGGCAGCAGCAUAGCCUGGGAGGGUGAGUUGUUACCCAGUGGUGGUUCUAGGAGGUAAGCCAGGUAAAUGUGCUGAGGUACAUAGAAAUCCUGUAUGAUUGUACCAGGGUUGAAGGGAGGACAUGAUUCCAAAAAAGAUUGUUCUCAAUGUGUCGUCUGACUCAACCAGCUGGCAGAUUACACUUGCCAAGUCGCUUCCUUUCCUUCUAAGUCACUUGGCUCCAUUUUCCCUUGAAUAUGCCUCUGAGGAAAGUAAGAUGUGUCGUCCCAUCCACUUAGCCUUUCAGAAAGGACGUUAGUGAUGCCCUCUUGUUCACAAGCUACCGUGAAAUGCCACCUCUCCUACUCAGUUGUACCAAAUGCAAGUAGAGGGGACAAACUGUAGAAGACAUACUUAAUGCCAUUGGAGUGGUCUGCCACUCUGCUUUCCGUACAUGAGCGCAGGAACCCGAGAGAACUGAGGGGACAGCACUGGUGAGUGGCUUUAGGGCUAUAGCCAUUCUUCUUCGGUAACAUCAUGAUUGGAAUCAGGUUGAGUUUUUUCUCUUAGAGGUGAGCAAUACUUUGCCCCCUGUUUCUCCUCCUGCCGAUCCUUUGAUCUCUCUCUAAUUUCAAUACUACUCAUUUGCUACUCUUGACCUGAUCAGAUUGCAAUGCUAGAAAGGGAUUCUAAAAUCUCUGUGUGCUGUCCUCAAGUCUUGGGAAUACACGGGUUCUACUCCUUGGGAACCAACUGAGAUAGACACGAGGCAGCCUUGCUCUGAGUUUCAGUCUGGUGACUUGUGGCCAUGAGAGAUAGCUUGAUGUGAAAGCUAAGGCAUGUUUAAUGGGACAGGUCAAGGACAGAAGGAAAAGCUGUCAGGCUUUCUCUGUGCUAAGUGUAUGUACUGGGAGCAGACACCUCCUUCUAGCUGACCACGAUCACAGCCUCACAAGCAGCAGCUUUGAGACUCAGUAAUAUUUCCAACUUAGGCAAAGCUACAUAGAUGCAUAGAGAAUAUGCCAUUGUUCAUCUACGUGAUACUGAUAGAGCCGUGGUAUUUUCACAGUGUAAGCAAAUUGCAUAUAUUCGAUGCCUCAUAAACCAUCGCUGACAUGCCCACGGGAGCACACGUAAUCCCUUCUGAAAAUCAGGAGAAGCUGUGUUUUAAGAAAGUGAUUUGGGUAAUUUCUUUUGUAUUUACACAUUAUUCAAUCAUAUUAAAACAUGUUUUUAUUUACAUUCUAUCAGUUUUGAUUGUGUUUCCCCAGUGCUCAAUGAGAAUAAAUAUGAAAAUCACAUGCUUUUUUUCUGUAAAAGAACUACUUUAUAUUUAGAAAUCCAAUAAACUUCUCAUUCCACUUAA